This 209-nucleotide ribosomal RNA is filed under the name uncultured bacterium. RNAcentral describes it as "partial 16S ribosomal RNA". It matches the Rfam family "Bacterial small subunit ribosomal RNA", at positions 568 to 774 of the family's 1533-position model. The record is from RNAcentral.
UGCGCAGGUGGGUUGGCAAGUUCGAUGUGAAAGCCCCGGGCUUAACCCGGGAAUGGCAUUGGAUACUGCUGAUCUGGAGGGGUCGGGAGGGGGGGACUGGAAUUCUUGGUGUAGCAGUGAAAUGCGUAGAUAUCAAGAGGAACACCAGUGGCGAAGGCGAGUCCCUGGACGAUACCUGACACUGAGGCACGAAAGCCAGGGAGCAAACA